AUUGAACGCUGGCGGCAUGCCUUACACAUGCAAAUCGAACGGUAACGGGCCUUCGGGUGCCGACGAGUGGCGAACGGGUGAGUAAUACAUCGGAACGUGCCCGAUCGUGGGGUAUAACGAGGCGAAAGCUUUGCUAAUACCGCAUACGAUCUACGGAGGAAAGCGGGGGACCGCAAGGCCUUGUGGGGGCGGGGGGGGCGAUGGCAGAUUAGGUAGUUGGUGGGGUAAGAGCUUAUCAAGCCGACGAUCUGUAGCUGGUCUGAGAGGAUGAUCAGCCACACUGGGACUGAGACACGGCCCAGACUCCUACGGGAGGCAGCAGUGGGGAAUUUUGGACAAUGGGCGCAAGCCUGAUCCAGCCAUGCCGCGUGCAGGAUGAAGGCCUUCGGGUUGUAAACUGAUUUUGUACGGAACGAAAAGCCUUCUUUUAAUACAGGAGGGUCAUGACGGUACCGUAAGAAUAAGCACCGGCUAACUACGUG
This 482-nucleotide ribosomal RNA is filed under the name uncultured bacterium. RNAcentral's name for it is "partial 16S ribosomal RNA". It matches the Rfam family "Bacterial small subunit ribosomal RNA", at positions 30 to 507 of the family's 1533-position model. The record is from RNAcentral.